RNAcentral lists this ribosomal RNA (453 nucleotides) under uncultured bacterium. RNAcentral describes it as "SSU rRNA". It matches the Rfam family "Bacterial small subunit ribosomal RNA", at positions 26 to 518 of the family's 1533-position model. The record is from RNAcentral.
AGAGCGAACGCUGGCGGCAGGCUUAACACAUGCAAGUCGAGCGGGCGUAGCAAUACGUCAGCGGCAGACGGGUGAGUAACGCGUGGGAACAUACCUUUUGGUUCGGAACAACCCAGGGAAACUUGGGCUAAAUACCGGAUAAGCCCUUACGGGGAAAGAUUUAUCGCCGAAAGAUUGGCCCGCGUCUGAUUAGCUAGUUGGUGAGGUAACGGCUCACCAAGGCGACGAUCAGUAGCUGGUCUGAGAGGAUGAUCAGCCACAUUGGGACUGAGACACGGCCCAAACUCCUACGGGAGGCAGCAGUGGGGAAUAUUGCGCAAUGGGCGAAAGCCUGACGCAGCGACGCCGCGUGGGGAUGAAGGCCUUCGGGUUGUAAACCCCUUUCAGCAGGGACGAAGCGAAAGUGACGGUACCUGCAGAAGAAGCGCCGGCUAACUACGCGCCAGCAGCCGC